ACGUAGGGGGCGAGCGUUGUCCGGAAUGACUGGGCGUAAAGCGCGCGCAGGCGGCCUGACGCGCCGGCCGUGAAAUCCCCCGGCUCAACCGGGGCGGGUCGGUCGGGACGGUCAGGCUGGAGGGUGUCAGAGGGGGGUGGAAUGCCGCGUGGAGCAGUGAAAUGCGUAGAGAUGCGGCGGAACACCGGCGGCGAAGGCGGCCCCCUGGGGCACAUCUGACGCUGAGGCGCGAAGGCCGGGGGAGCGAACGGGA
Molecule: ribosomal RNA, 253 nt
Filed under: uncultured prokaryote
Description: partial 16S ribosomal RNA
Rfam family: Bacterial small subunit ribosomal RNA
Source: RNAcentral